This 2760-nucleotide long non-coding RNA is filed under the name Mytilus galloprovincialis (Mediterranean mussel). The record is from RNAcentral. Lineage: Eukaryota; Metazoa; Mollusca; Bivalvia; Mytilida; Mytilidae.
AAAGCGCAUACACUAUACGAUACAAUAUGAGAAAUAUCUAAGCGACACAUUGCGAAACAAACAUUUUGCGCAAGAACAAAAUUUGGCGGAAGAAAAAAAUAAUAAUAAUUAAAAACCAAUUGUUCAGAGAACAAUUGAAAGUCUUUCCACAACAAAGAAAUUUGGAUCAGAAGGUAGUUUCUUCAUACUGAUGAUAUAAAUAAUGGUUUAAUUAUCUUUUUGAGUGAUGUAAGGGAGAUAAUAUGCUACUUCCGGUCUCAUAUGAUAGCUUCUUUCACACUGAUUCCAAAAAUAUAUAGUUUCUAUGUACUUUUGCAUGUAGAAUGGGAGAUAAUUGGUUACUUCCGGUUUGUUGGAAGUCAUUUUUAUUCUUCAGUAAUCAGUUAAUGUAUCUGUAUGACAAAAUAUAUGGAUUCUGAGUACUUGUAUGUGAAAAAACUGCAAAAAAAGCUACUUCCGGUUUUCUCAAGGUCACUUCCGCUAACCAUUUUUCAAGGUCAUUUGUCACUUAACCUUUUGUAUAAGGUCAAAUGUCUUUGUAAUGAACUUACUUGAAGAUAUAAUCAAAUAACCUCAUAUCAAGACAUUUCAGGGGCAACAACUCCUAUAAGAUGCCUAUAAGAGCAUAUAUCUUCAUUACAAUUAAGCAGACAUUUUUGCACAUUUUGAUUCUUUUUUAUGUAUCUCUCAAAGUGAGUGAGAAGAAUGCAAAAGGCAAGCAAAAGUCACAAUUAAGAAUUUGACCUUGACCUUUGACCUUGACCUCAUUUUCUAAGUUAAGACCUAAGGGACUCAAAUAAAAGCAUUCCAGGGUUAUACGAUUAAUUGUUUAUGAGUUAAAUAAACAUACCGACAAAUUUAUUUUGUAAAGGUAGAUAACUCCUAUAAAAUUUCAUCGAAUCGCUUCGAUCAAAAUACGCCAAAACUUUCUGAGGAUGUAACGAACAAUGUGUAAAAGAAAUUUUGUCGAUAUCUUUUUUUGUUACAGAGGAGAUGCACUCUGAUUAUAAACAGUGAAUAGGGAGAUAACUCUUACAAAGAAAAUGGUUCGGCUUAGCAGGGUGAAAUUUAAAAGCGCAUAAACUAUACGAUACCAAUAUGAGAAAUAUCUAAGCGACAUAUUUGCGAAACAAACAUUUAUCGCAAGAACAAAAGUUGCGGAAAAAAAAAAAUAAAUAAUAAUAAUAAUAAUAAUAAUAAUAAUAAUCAGAACAAAUACAAUAAGUCUUUCCACAGAAAAGUGGAAAGACUUAAUAAUUAAAAACCAAUUGUUCAGAGAACAAUUGAAGGUCUUUCCAUUGAAAAAAAAUGUAUUUUAAUAUGAAAGUUGUAAAAUUAAGUUUAAAACGUCAUUUCAAUCGUCAACUGAUAGGUUAUUGUACGCUGAUUCCAGAAAUAUAUGGUUUCUAUACAAUAUUUUUUUAAUAAGGGAGAUAAUUUGCAUUUGUUACUUCCGGUUUGGAAUAUUAAUGAUUUACACUUGAAUAUUAAAUUGACACUGAAUGAUCUGGUUCUAUAUACUUUUUUAUUAAUAAAGUACAAAAAAUAGCUACUUCCGGUUUACACAAGGUCACUUCCGGUUGUUUUUUUCAAGGUUAAAUGGUUUGAUACCUUUUGCCAAAAGUCUCAUGGCUAUAUCAUGUAUACAUAUGAGCUGAAAGCAAAGGUCAAAAACUAGAACGUCAAAUUAAUCUAUGACCUUGAGAUCAAUUUCAAGGUCAUAAACCAAGGACCUCAAAUCAAAAGACCAUAGGUCUUAAUAAUAUUUGGUUAAUCAGUUAUAUCACCAAACGCGUAUUUUUAAAUACAAGAGGGGAGAAAACUCACUUUUACGUUUAACGUACUCUUGCAAUCAAAAUUUAUGUGUUACGACAUGUCGCAAAUAACAAUUUAGAAAAAAUAAUAUGUCGAUAUCUUAUACGGUUUCUGGAAAUUAGUGGAAAUAAGCCAAAUUCAAAAAUUAGAAUAUGACCUUGACCUUUGACCUUGACCUAAUUUUUAGUUUUUUGGACCAAGGACCUCAAAUCAAAAGAUCCUUGGUCUCUAGCACUUAUGGUUUUCAAGAUAGAAAUGCAUAUCACUUAUAUCAAAUGCAUAAGGGGAAAUAACUCUCAUAUGGAGCGUUCAUAUCACUUCGGUCAAAAUAGGACAAAUCAUGCGAAGGAUAUAACGAGCAAUUUUGUAAAAUAAAUUUGUCAUAAUAUUUUACGGUUGCGAAGGAGAUGCGCUAACAAGGAAAACAGUGUUUGGGGAGAUAACUCCUACAAAGAAAAGUAUUCGUUUACGCAGGGUAAAUUUCAAAAGCGCAUAAACUGUUCGAUAUCAUAUACCAAAUAUCUAAGCGACAUAUUGCGAAACAAAUGUUUAUCGCAAGAAAAAAAUUAGGCGGAAGAAAAAAAAAAAAAAAAAAAAUCAGAAGAGAAAACAAUAGGUCUUUCACAGAAAAGUGGAAAGAUAAUAAUCAGAACAAAUACAAUAGGCUUUCCACAGAAGUGGAAAGACCUAAAUAAAAUAAUAUUAAAAACCAAUUGUUCAGAGAACAAUUGAAAGUCUUUCCACACCAAAGAAAUUAUGAUAAGAAGAUAGUUUCUUCAUACUGAUGCGAUUAAUAAUGGUUUAAUUAUAUUUUUGAGUGAUAUAAGGGAAAUAAUAUGCUACUUCCGGUGAAAUUAAUGUCACUUCCGGUCUCAUAUGAUAGCUUCUUUCACACUGAUUCCAAAAAUAUAUAGUUUCUAUAUACUUUUGUAUGUAUAAUGGGAG